Molecule: non-coding RNA, 456 nt
Organism: Poecilia reticulata (guppy)
Lineage: Eukaryota; Metazoa; Chordata; Actinopteri; Cyprinodontiformes; Poeciliidae
Source: RefSeq, a predicted model, not a curated record
AGAAGAAAACAACUAAAACUCCUGACUUGGAAUGAACUGAACAGCACAGCAUUAUACAAGGAAGCAGCGGUGGCUGAGCCGUACCUUGAACAGGAAGUGAUGAGACUUUAUUCUAAAGUCAAAGUGACCUGUCGUCAAACUAUACAUUUCUGAAAGAUUUUAUACAGACUGAGAGGAUUUCUUCUCCUGCAUGUGAUCAAUGUUUACACUGUGCUUGGGAAGUACAAAAAUAUGCUUUUCUUUCAUUUGUUUUGACACCAUAAACAGGACCUAAACAGGACAGUAAUCCUGUGUGACCUAAAUAGACAGAAAAAGUUUAUUUCUUAUAAAGUGAAUGUUGCGACUAGUUAGCAAGACUAAACUGACUCAUUUAUUUUCGGCAACUGAUAAUAUCUUGAUUUAUGCAACACRCACCCACAUAAAUCACAAAUAUAAUAAAGUUUUCCAUAUCACUUA